This 1030-nucleotide long non-coding RNA is filed under the name Homo sapiens (human). RNAcentral describes it as "HSALNT0180242". Lineage: Eukaryota; Metazoa; Chordata; Mammalia; Primates; Hominidae. The record is from RNAcentral.
GUUUUGAAACGCAAGGACAUGAGGUUUGGAGGGGUCAGGGCAGAAUGAUAUGGUUUGGCUGUGUCCCCAUUCAAAUCUCAACUUGAAUUUUAUCUCCCAGAAUUCCCACAUGUUGUGGAAGGGACCCAGUGGGAGGUCAAAUGAAUCAUGGGGGCUGGUCUUUCCCGUGCUAGUCUCAUGAUAGUAAGUCUCAUGAGAUUCAGUGGGUUUAUUAGGGAUUUCUGCUUUUGCUUCCUCAUUUUCUCUUGCCACCACCAUGUACAAAGAACCUUUCACCUCCCGCCAAGAUUCUGAGGCCUCACAAGUCUUCAUCAACCACCUGAAAUUCUCCAAGAUGAGCUGGAUGUUACUAUGCUGGAAAAUACAGCUACAUGAAGAGUUGCCUGAUCAAGUUUUGGCCUUUAGUAGAAGAACACAGGCAACUAACAGUGACUUGGUCUGGAGGACACCAGGGAACUAAUAUUCUAAUCCUACAUUUCUUUUGCCCUUCAAUCUUCUACUCCUGUCACUGAUAGCAUCAACCCAAAUAAAACCUGGAGGAAAAGGAAAAGAAAGGUCAUUGGUACAGGACAAAGACCCAGCCUCCUAGAACACUGAUAGGCCAGAACAGAAAAGGGUGGAAAGUGGAUCUGAAGAGCAAAUUGCAAACAACAACAACAAAAAAAAAGAAAAAAAAAAAGAACUCAUUUGAUUAACAACUUUCCUCUAUGCUCAUGUCAAACUAUGUCUAAAUAUCUUGGCAUAUAUUAGGGAAGAUGCUUUUUCACUUUCAUUGGGUAAUUAUUUGGCUAGGCCACCCAAUCUCCCCCAUAUAACUAUAGUACUGAAAAUGUAAAAAUAGUUAAAGAUAAAAGUAGAAUUCCCAUUCUUUUUUGUUCUUAGAUGAUUUAUGAAGUGUCCAUUGGUAUAUGCAUAUGGGUAUCUAUUUUCCUAGGUCAGGAAUUUACAGAACAUUAAAAAAAAAUGCUUUCCUAGUUAUAUAGUUUUCUACUUCAGUCCUUUUUUAAGAAUGAAGCAUAUUCAAGAGACU